GUGACUGCCUUCUAGCAAGGUGAAUGGAGCUCUUUCUCUCUUCGUUUCUUUUUAGACACAAAUUGUUUUGGAGCAGAUGGAGCUAUUUACAGGUGGUUGUUUUGUGUUGCAUGCAUGCCAAAUGCCAAUGGCUCUGUGCUCCCCGUGUGCCUCCAUUCAGCCUGGGCUUUCUCAGUGCCUGCCAAGGAACCUGUUCUGCACUAGGGGGAAGGACCCAUCCUUUGCCCAGAUCUAUGUCUGAAGGCGGAGGUUCCCAGUGGAUUCUCUCAUGCAUAAUACGGGAGAAGCUAUGGAUGUAACCUCAGACUGGGAGCUUUCAAGGACUGUCCUUAAGCUACCUCUGUUUUUGUCAAGCUGAAAACUGACAGACUUUCUGUCUUGAAGAGCAAAAAAGAAAUUGCCCGGUGAAUGUUAAAGGGAAAAGUGGUGUUUUUAAAGCUGCCAAUAUCACCUUUUUCCAUUGCGGAAAACUAAUUUUAAACUCAAUUUCAGAAAUAAUCAUGCCAGUUGUUGUGGAUUGGUUUUAACUCGACUUGUUCUCUUACCUUUUCUAAAAAGCAUUCUCAGGGAAUUUCAGCAUCAGAAAUGUCAGUACCAAGCUAACAAAAUUUACUGUACUUUGCAGAAACAGUUUUCCUGUACAGUAUGUUUAGAAUAAUUCCCCAAUCCUAUUUUUAAUUCCACCUUGUAGCAUUGAAGAGUAUAAACACUUUGAUGAAGGUUUUAAAAACAUGAACUCAUACCUUGUAUGGCCAAAAGAAAUGGGUAAUAUCUAAAAUCUGCAGGGAAAGAAGUAAGGCUCUGAAUCAACCAGACUGCUGGGCAGGCAGCUCCCUGUGCCUCACUCGUGACUGAAGCCUUGAUUUGCAUCACGGUAAGAGUUACACCCAGAUUUUAAUAUUAGAUACACCCUCCUAGUUCUUGUUACAGAUACAUAGGAAAAGAGUUCUUUUCUGAAUCUCAGUACACAGAAUGAUUUUCUUAAAUACAUUGUUCUUUGAUAUUAGAAAGGUGUUAAAAAAUUAUUCAAAAUUAGCCUCUAUAGCGAAGAGCAACUUUAGCAACCGGCUCAGACAUAGAUGCAGCAUGGAGAGUCUGGGAGAGGAGGGAAAGAACGGCACAGCUCACCCACAUGAUCCCAGUGCUUAAGCAUUGCAGUAAAUACUGCUGAUGAAGCAGUGAGAGAUGGUCUUCCACUUUCCUGUAGCAAAUCCCUGUUUUAGCAACUGCAGGCAGAAGGGUCAAAUAUUUAACUUGGUAUUAAACUUAGCAAAAUAAACUCAGUUUCUAGUGCACAAAAAGUAUUUGUGUAAGUAUACUAUCCUAUCUGUCUGAAAGGUCAGGUAUGGCUUAGCAAAGUUUGAAACAGUUGUGCUGGAAGAGUUGAGCAGCAGUGUGCUUGAGUGGACGACCAGGCAGAUCAUGAAUUGUCUACAGCACGGGUUGCAAAAGAGAAAGGUUUGAUUAAUGUACAUGAACAAUUACAAUGGAGCAACACUGGUACAGCUCUCUGUGAUCUGAUCUUUCCAUUGCAUCUUCUUUCCAGAUGCCACAUUGCUCAUUUUUGUAAGGGACUAUAUUAAUUUCCAGCUGGGUUUGGGGAAAUACUAUUUUCUUUACAACUGACAAACAAAUUUCAGCAGAUUCUCAGCCCGAUAUAACCUUGACUCAAUACAGGCUGAAUAAUAAACUUUGGACACAUAUUUCAUGCACCAUGCUACUGAUGUACAAAAGAACUGCAGACUUCUCUGUUGUAGCUUAUGAAAACAACUGAUUCUUACUGGAAUAUAUAUACACACCUAUAUUUCCCCAUUUCAUGGAGGAAAAAACCUGUCUUCCUUUUUCCCUUUUUCUUUUUUUUUCCCUCCCAGUAUAACAACUCACUGUUAAGACUCGUUGGUGUUGUCUUCUCUCUCUCCCUGCCUACUCUAAGCAAAGCUAGUCUCUGCAGGCACUUACCCUGGGAUUCUCUCUGUUUGACAAUUUUAACUAAAUGCAGUUGAAAGGUUAUUAUUUUUUCACUUGUUAACACUUUCAUUUGGAAAACAUAUUUUCAAAUGUUUCUGAAAAUAUCCAUUGUUGCAACGGCAAAGUCAACUUUAUUUCUUGUAGCAGAACGC
Molecule: long non-coding RNA, 2120 nt
Organism: Grus americana (Whooping crane)
Lineage: Eukaryota; Metazoa; Chordata; Aves; Gruiformes; Gruidae
Exons: 4
Source: RefSeq, a predicted model, not a curated record